This 465-nucleotide ribosomal RNA is filed under the name uncultured bacterium. RNAcentral's name for it is "partial 16S ribosomal RNA". It matches the Rfam family "Bacterial small subunit ribosomal RNA", at positions 29 to 507 of the family's 1533-position model. The record is from RNAcentral.
ACGAACGCUGGCGGCGUGCUUCACACAUGCAAGUCGCACGGAAAGGCCCUGCUUGCAGGGUACUCGAGUGGCGAACGGGUGAGUAACACGUGGGUGAUCUGCCCUGCACUUCGGGAUAAGCUUGGGAAACUGGGUCUAAUACCGGAUAGGAGCCAUCUUUAGUGUGGUGGUUGGAAAGUUUUUUCGGUGUAGGAUGAGCUCGCGGCCUAUCAGCUUGUUGGUGGGGUAAUGGCCUACCAAGGCGGCGACGGGUAGCCGGCCUGAGAGGGUGUACGGCCACAUUGGGACUGAGAUACGGCCCAGACUCCUACGGGAGGCAGCAGUGGGGAAUAUUGCACAAUGGGCGCAAGCCUGAUGCAGCGACGCCGCGUGGGGGAUGAAGGCCUUCGGGUUGUAAACUCCUUUCGCUAGGGACGAAGCUUUUUUGUGACGGUACCUAGAUAAGAAGCACCGGCUAACUACGUG